AGUGAACGCUGGCGGUAGGCCUAACACAUGCAAGUCGAACGGCAGCACAGUAAGAGCUUGCUCUUACGGGUGGCGAGUGGCGGACGGGUGAGGAAUACAUCGGAAUCUACUUUUUCGUGGGGGAUAACGUAGGGAAACUUACGCUAAUACCGCAUACGACCUACGGGUGAAAGCGGGGGAUCUUGGGACCUUGCGCGAUCGAAUGACCCGAUGUCGGAUUAGCUAGUUGGCGGGGUAAAGGCCCACCAAGGCGACGAUCCGUAGCUGGUCUGAGAGGAUGAUGAGCCACACUGGAACUGAGACACGGUCCAGACUCCUACGGGAGGCAGCAGUGGGGAAUAUUGGACAAUGGGCGCAAGCCUGAUCCAGCCAUACCGCGUGGGUGAAGAAGGCCUUCGGGUUGUAAAGCCCUUUUGUUGGGAAAGAAAAGCAGCAGGUUAAUACCCCGCUGUUCUGACGGUACCCAAAGAAUAAGCACCGGCUAACUUCGUG
Molecule: ribosomal RNA, 492 nt
Filed under: uncultured bacterium
Lineage: Bacteria
Description: partial 16S ribosomal RNA
Rfam family: Bacterial small subunit ribosomal RNA
Source: RNAcentral